This is a long non-coding RNA of Rosa chinensis, 1417 nucleotides long. RefSeq lists it as uncharacterized. The record is from RefSeq and is a predicted model, not a curated record. The transcript has 7 exons. Lineage: Eukaryota; Viridiplantae; Streptophyta; Magnoliopsida; Rosales; Rosaceae.
GGAACAAAUAGCUUCUUGGUCUUGAGUUGGACACUCUCAGUAUAUGGUCUCAUAAGUUUUUGAUUAUAAAAUUGUGGAUUGGUUGAAUUCCAAAUUCUCAAAAGAUUUAUGCGGGUCUUAACAAUUUAUACCAGCUAUUGCAACAUGCUUCUAAUUUCAAAAACUGCUCUCUUUUUAUAUUUGAUUUUUCAAAUUUUUUUUUUGGUUCAGUUUCAUGAAGAUCUUUUAGUUCAUUCAUUUUAGUAUUCUCUUUUAGGCCCAUGGUUUGCUCUCAUGUGGUACGGGGGCUUCGAAAUCCUCUCACAUUACCUAGCUAGCUAUUUGCUAGAUUUUCCUGCCACCUGAAGAUUGUAGGGUUUAGCAAGAGGCCCCAGUUUCGAGCCUGGGUCCCUGAAGCAGGUUUGCAGGAUUUCUGGGUAUCAAAGAAGGAUAGAAGGCUUCCGCAGUUUUUGUUGGAGUUUAUGAACCUACAAAGCAGAAAUUGUUAGAGAUGUUUCCUGAAAAUCUAAGCGCUUUAGCUCAUUUUGUAAGCGAAUCUUGUCUCUUCCAUUCUUUAUGUUUUAUGUAUUCUUGAUAGGAACAUGAUGAUUGAGUGGUCUGAGAAGUUUACUGAGCUUGUUGUUUGAAGUUUGAAGGUCUUUGACAGCACAAACAGUCUUUCUGUCAGCCUCAAGAUGACCAUUGAAACCUCAAAGACAUUUUGAUGCAUGCUUCCUGGGAACGGUUUUCUUGUAUAUUUUACAUUAUGUGAAGUACUGGUUUGUCAUCUACCUUAAUUAAAACAUUCUGUUUUCUUGUCUUCAAUGGAAAUCCCUUGUGUGGUUGUUUGAUUCUUAAGCUGAAAAUUUGGCAAUGUAAACUUCUUUUCUGAAUCAAACUUUGUUUUUCGAACUUUAUGUAGACUGCGGGAGCUUGUGGAGGCAUUGCUGCUUCACCAUUCGUGUUCCAACAGAGGUUGUAAAGCAAAGGAUGCAAACAGGGCAAUUCACAUCCGCCUCUGCUGCUGUCGCCUUAUUGCUGCUAAGGAGGGCUUCAAAGGACUCUAUGCGGCAAAGAGAGAGUUCAACGAUCCUGAGAAUGCUAUAAUUGGAGCUUUUGCAGGUGCAUUAACUGGAGUUAUAACCACUCCCCUUGAUGUGAUUAAAACUAGACUAAUGGUACAGUACAAAGGAAUUGUUGACUGUGUUCAGACUAUUGUGAGGGAAGAAGGACCUCCCGCUCUUUUGAAGGGUAUUGGACCAAGAGUGCUGUGGAUAGGGAUUGUCGGUUCAAUUUUUUUGGUGUUGUCGAGAGAACAAAGCGCUUACUUGUUCAGGGACGACCAACAGUUGGUGAAGACACGAAGCAGGACUAACUUGUAGAUAAACCAAGGGGAUCCUUUAUGUUCUUCAUUUUUAGAGUGUGAAAUGCCUUAUGU